RNAcentral lists this ribosomal RNA (253 nucleotides) under uncultured bacterium. RNAcentral's name for it is "partial 16S ribosomal RNA". It matches the Rfam family "Bacterial small subunit ribosomal RNA", at positions 524 to 776 of the family's 1533-position model. The record is from RNAcentral.
UACGUAGGUGGCAAGCGUUGUCCGGAUUUAUUGGGUUUAAAGGGUGCGUAGGCGGUCUUAUAAGUCAGUGCUGAAAUAUCCCGGCUUAACCGGGAGGGUGGCAUUGAUACUGUAGGACUUGAGUGAAGUCGAGGUAGGCGGAAUUGACGGUGUAGCGGUGAAAUGCGUAGAUAUCGGGAGGAACACCUGUGGCGAAAGCGGCGCACUGGACCAUAACUGACGCUGAGGCGCGAAAGCUAGGGGAGCAAACAGG